UGUAAGCGUAUACCAAAGUUGUUGCAGUUAAAACGCUCGUAGUCGGAAUUUGGCAGUUCCGGAUGUGUGCAAGUCGUGUGCGCACUUCGCGGGGAUUGCUUUUGUGGUCUUGCGUAGGAUGAGGCACUUUUAUUAGUGAACGUCCUCACGCAACCACUUUUUACUGUGAGAAAAUCAGAGUGCUCAAAGCAGGCAUUUGCCGUGAAUGUAUUAGCAUGGAAUAAUAGAAUAGGACUUGGUUCUAUUUUGUUGGUUUGUUGGGACUGAGUAAUGAUUAAGAGGGACAGUUGGGGGCAUUUGUAUUUCGGUGCUAGAGGUGAAAUUCUUAGAUUACCGAAAGACAAACUGCUGCGAAAGCGUCUGCCAAGGAUGUUUUCAUUGA
Molecule: ribosomal RNA, 382 nt
Filed under: uncultured eukaryote
Lineage: Eukaryota
Description: partial 18S ribosomal RNA
Rfam family: Eukaryotic small subunit ribosomal RNA
Source: RNAcentral